AACGAACGCUGGCGGCAGGCUUAACACAUGCAAGUCGAGCGCCCCGCAAGGGGAGCGGCAGCCGGGUGAGUACCGCGUGGGAACGUACCUUUUGGUUCGGAACAACUCCGGGAAACUGGAGCUAAUACCGGAUAAGCCCUAACGGGGAAAGAUUUAUCGCCGAAAGAUCGGCCCGCGUCUGAUUAGCUAGUUGGUGAGGUAACGGCUCACCAAGGCGACGAUCAGUAGCUGGUCUGAGAGGAUGAUCAGCCACACUGGGACUGAGACACGGCCCAGACUCCUACGGGAGGCAGCAGUGGGGAAUAUUGGACAAUGGGCGCAAGCCUGAUCCAGCCAUGCCGCGUGAGUGAUGAAGGCCUUAGGGUUGUAAAGCUCUUUUGUCCGGGAAGAUAAUGACUGUACCGGAAGAAUAAGCCCCGGCUAACUUCGUG
RNAcentral lists this ribosomal RNA (431 nucleotides) under uncultured bacterium. RNAcentral describes it as "partial 16S ribosomal RNA". It matches the Rfam family "Bacterial small subunit ribosomal RNA", at positions 29 to 507 of the family's 1533-position model. The record is from RNAcentral.